This 153-nucleotide small nuclear RNA is filed under the name Sphaeramia orbicularis (orbiculate cardinalfish). RNAcentral's name for it is "U1 spliceosomal RNA (ENSSORG00005002606.1)". It matches the Rfam family "U1 spliceosomal RNA". Rfam says of the family: U1 is a small nuclear RNA (snRNA) component of the spliceosome (involved in pre-mRNA splicing). Its 5' end forms complementary base pairs with the 5' splice junction, thus defining the 5' donor site of an intron. There are significant differences in sequence and secondary structure between metazoan and yeast U1 snRNAs, the latter being much longer (568 nucleotides as compared to 164 nucleotides in human). Lineage: Eukaryota; Metazoa; Chordata; Actinopteri; Kurtiformes; Apogonidae. The record is from RNAcentral.
AUACUUAUCUGGCAGGAGAGACAAGAAGGUGGUUCACCCAGGGAGAGGUUCAACCAUUGCACUGCAGCUGUCUGACCUCUGCCAAUCCAUAAAUGUGAGGAUCUCAGCUGCAUAAAUAUCUGAUAGGGGGGACUGUAUUCAUGUUCUCCCCUC